AGAGUUUGAUCCUGGCUCAGGAUGAACGCUGGCGGCGUGCUUAACACAUGCAAGUCGAACGAACCUUCGGGUUAGUGGCGGACGGGUGAGUAACGCGUGGGAAUCUGCCCUCAGGAGGGGGAUAACGGUUGGAAACGACCGCUAAUACCCCAUAUGCCGAGAGGUGAAAUGAAUUUCGCCUGAGGAUGAGCCCGCGUCUGAUUAGCUUGUUGGUGAGGUAAUGGCUCACCAAGGCUUCGAUCAGUAGCUGGUCUGAGAGGAUGAUCAGCCACACUGGGACUGAGACACGGCCCAGACUCCUACGGGAGGCAGCAGUGGGGAAUUUUCCGCAAUGGGCGAAAGCCUGACGGAGCAACGCCGCGUGAGGGAUGAAGGCCUCUGGGCUGUAAACCUCUUUUCUCAAGGAAGAAGAUAUGACGGUACUUGAGGAAUAAGCCACGGCUAAUUCCGUGCCAGCAGCCGCGGUAAUACGGGAGUGGCAAGCGUUAUCCGGAAUUAUUGGGCGUAAAGCGUCCGCAGGCGGCCUUUCAAGUCUGCUGUUAAAACGUGGAGCUCAACUCCAUCAUGGCAGUGGAAACUGAUUGGCUUGAGUAUGGUAGGGGCAGAGGGAAUUCCCGGUGUAGCGGUGAAAUGCGUAGAUAUCGGGAAGAACACCAGUGGCGAAGGCGCUCUGCUGGGCCAUUACUGACGCUCAUGGACGAAAGCCAGGGGAGCGAAAGGGAUUAGAUACCCCUGUAGUCCUGGCCGUAAACGAUGAACACUAGGUGUCGGGGGAAUCGACCCCUUCGGUGUCGUAGCUAACGCGUUAAGUGUUCCGCCUGGGGAGUACGCACGCAAGUGUGAAACUCAAAGGAAUUGACGGGGGCCCGCACAAGCGGUGGAGUAUGUGGUUUAAUUCGAUGCAACGCGAAGAACCUUACCAGGAUUUGACAUCCUGCGAACCUUUAAGAAAUUAGAGGGUGCCUUCGGGAACGCAGUGACAGGUGGUGCAUGGCUGUCGUCAGCUCGUGUCGUGAGAUGUUGGGUUAAGUCCCGCAACGAGCGCAACCCACGUUUUUAGUUGCCAGCAUUUAGUUGGGCACUCUAGAAAGACCGCCGGUGAUAAACCGGAGGAAGGUGUGGAUGACGUCAAGUCAUCAUGCCCCUUACAUCCUGGGCUACACACGUACUACAAUGCUACGGACAAAGGGCAGCAAACUCGCGAGAGCUAGCAAAUCCCAUAAACCGUGGCUCAGUUCAGAUCGUAGGCUGCAACUCGCCUACGUGAAGUAGGAAUCGCUAGUAAUCGCAGGUCAGCAUACUGCGGUGAAUACGUUCCCGGGCCUUGUACACACCGCCCGUCACACCAUGGAAGUUGGCCAUGCCCGAAGUCGUUACUUUAACCCUUGUGGAGAAGGACGCCGAAGGUGGGGCUGAUGACUGGGGUGAAGUCGUAACAAGGUAGCCGUACCGGAAGGUGCGGCUG
This 1465-nucleotide ribosomal RNA is filed under the name Prochlorococcus sp. AG-315-D17. Its description in RNAcentral is "bacterial SSU rRNA". It matches the Rfam family "Bacterial small subunit ribosomal RNA". RNAcentral also lists the same sequence under 1 other name. Lineage: Bacteria; Bacillati; Cyanobacteriota; Cyanophyceae; Synechococcales; Prochlorococcaceae. The record is from RNAcentral.